GGUUCCCUACGGGGCGCAGCAGUGGGGAAUUUUGGACAAUGGGCGCAAGCCUGAUCCAGCUAUUCCGCGUGUGGGAUGAAGGCCCUCGGGUUGUAAACCACUUUUGUAGAGAACGAAAAGACACCUUCGAAUAAAGGGUGUUGCUGACGGUACUCUAAGAAUAAGCACCGGCUAACUACGUGCCAGCAGCCGCGGUAAUACGUAGGGUGCGAGCGUUAAUCGGAAUUACUGGGUUUAAAGGGUGCGCAGGCGGCUGAGUAAUACAGAUGUGAAAUCCCCGAGCUUAACUCGGGAAUGGCAUAUGU
This 305-nucleotide ribosomal RNA is filed under the name uncultured bacterium. RNAcentral describes it as "bacterial SSU rRNA". It matches the Rfam family "Bacterial small subunit ribosomal RNA", at positions 333 to 630 of the family's 1533-position model. The record is from RNAcentral.